RNAcentral lists this transfer RNA (71 nucleotides) under Phrynosoma platyrhinos (Desert horned lizard). Its description in RNAcentral is "tRNA-OTHER". The record is from RNAcentral. Lineage: Eukaryota; Metazoa; Chordata; Lepidosauria; Squamata; Phrynosomatidae.
GACAGCGUGGCCUAGUGGUGUGAGUGCUGGGCUAUGACUCUGGAGACCAGGGUUCAAUUCCCAGCUUGACC